This 497-nucleotide ribosomal RNA is filed under the name uncultured bacterium. RNAcentral describes it as "partial 16S ribosomal RNA". It matches the Rfam family "Bacterial small subunit ribosomal RNA", at positions 28 to 507 of the family's 1533-position model. The record is from RNAcentral.
GAUGAACGCUGGCGGCGUGCCUAACACAUGCAAGUCGAGCGAACGGACGAGAAGCUUGUUUCUCUGAUGUUAGCGGCGGACGGGUGAGUAACACGUGGAUAACCUCCCUAUAAGACUGGGAUAACUUCGGGACACCGUAGCUAAUACCGGAUAAUAUAAUGAACCGCAUGGUUCAAAAGUGACAGACGGUCUUGCUGUCACUUCUAGAUCGAUCCGCGAUGCUUUAGCUAGUUGGUAGGGUAACGGCUUACCAAGGCAACGAUGCAUAGCCGACCUGGGAGGGUGUUCGGAGCCACUGGAAGUGGGGCACGGUCCAGACUCCUACGGGAGGCAGCAGUAGGGAAUCUUCCGCAGUGGGCGAAGGCCUGACGGAGCAACGCGGCGUGGGUGAUGGAGGUCAUCGGAUCGUGAAGCUGUGUGAUUAGGGGAGAUCAUAUGUGUAAGUAGCUGUACACGUCUUGACGGUACCUGGUCAGAAAGCCACGGCUAACUACGUG